Paramormyrops kingsleyae is the source of this 963-nucleotide long non-coding RNA. RefSeq lists it as uncharacterized. NCBI's taxonomy places the organism in Eukaryota, Metazoa, Chordata, Actinopteri, Osteoglossiformes, Mormyridae. The record is from RefSeq and is a predicted model, not a curated record.
ACACUGUAAUUGGUUCAAUCACACAUUAGGGCGUGUCUUAUGAUUUCUCGGCAACAGAUGGUGCUUUCACUACCUUAAUCCCGCUCCAGCUGUGGCUUGGCCACCGCGCCAUUUGUCUGUUUAAGCGAAAUAUGCAACGGUGCCGUUUAUUCCAGGGUAGGAUUGUUGCUUCUCAACGUACCCCCUACCCAUAAAGCCCCUGCCGUCUGUGCUGGUGAAGUCCGCUGCGUCCUCGUCAGCGGUUUCAUCGUCUGCGAUGAAGAAACUGGUUAUCAAGCCUUAACGAGGAGGAGGGAGCAACUCAGAAACCCACAUGAGAACACAGGUACAGAGGGCCAGUAGUGCGGUCUAGGUCACACCCUCUGCAGCAGUGACUGAAACAGGUCCUGGUUUGGGGGUAGUGGCCCAGAACUGAAUGAAUCAGUAUUUCAAAAAGACGAUAUGGAGUCAGUGGUUUCUUCCACGCAUGAAAACCAACCGUUGGAUGUCGCCCAGCCAUCUUUAUCAGACAUCGUUGCUUUGGAUCUGAACAGCCAUGAGGUGAAGUUUCAUUGAUUCUUCAAGGUCCCCCCCCCCCCGGAGGAAGGUCACAGUCUGAUUUCCAACGUAGGCUGAAGACCUGGACCCUGAUUAUAUGUGUGUGCCAGCUUGGUGUAAGUGGGCGUUGGCUAUUUCUGUGUCAUAGCAGGAGAGCCAAUCAGAGGUGGCGUGCCACUCGGGUCAGACCCACCACCCUUUGCUCUACAUCCCCAACAUCUGGGUGACUUUAGAAAUGGGGACUUUAGGACGGGUAGAGGAUGGCAUAAGGAAAAGGACAGGAACAGAGAAGUAUUAAAAAGAUAUACGAUUGCAGAAUUUCUAUUAUUUAGGGUUGUAGUAUUUUCUACUGUAUUUCAGGACUGUAUUUCAUUGAUACAUUUUCAGGGUCAAUAAAUGUGAUACUUUUCCCUGUCUGGCCUUGAA